AUUGAACGCUGGCGGCAGGCCUAACACAUGCAAGUCGAACGGUAACAGAAAGCAGCUUGCUGCUUUGCUGACGAGUGGCGGACGGGUGAGUAAUGUCUGGGAAACUGCCUGAUGGCGGGGGAUAACUACUGGAAACGGUAGCUAAUACCGCAUAACGUCGCAAGACCAAAGAGGGGGACCUUCGGGCCUCUUGCCAUCGGAUGUGCCCAGAUGGGAUUAGCUAGUAGGUGGGGUAACGGCUCACCUAGGCGACGAUCCCUAGCUGGUCUGAGAGGAUGACCAGCCACACUGGAACUGAGACACGGUCCAGACUCCUACGGGAGGCAGCAGUGGGGAAUAUUGCGCAAUGGGCGCAAGCCUGAUGCAGCCAUGCCGCGUGUAUGAAGAAGGCCUUCGGGUUGUAAAGUACUUUCAGCGGGGAGGAAGGGAGUAAAGUUAAUACCUUUGCUCAUUGACGUUACCCGCAGAAGAAGCACCGGCUAACUCCGUG
This 490-nucleotide ribosomal RNA is filed under the name uncultured bacterium. RNAcentral's name for it is "partial 16S ribosomal RNA". It matches the Rfam family "Bacterial small subunit ribosomal RNA", at positions 30 to 507 of the family's 1533-position model. The record is from RNAcentral.